AGUUUGAUCAUGGCUACAGGAUGAACGCUGGCGGCGUGCCUAAUACAUGCAAGUCGAGCGGCAGCACGGUCUUCGGACUGGUGGCGAGCGGCGGACGGCUGAGUAACGCGUAGGAAUAUACCCAAAGUGAGGGAUAACUGCCCGAAAGGUGGCUAAUACCGCAUGUGGUCUUCGGACUUAAAGCCUUCGGGCGCUUUGGGAAUAGCCUGCGUAAGAUUAGCUAGUUGGUGAGGUAAUGGCUCACCAAGGCGACGAUCUUUAGCUGGUCUGAGAGGAUGACCAGCCAGACUGGAACUGAGACAUGGUCCAGACUCCUACGGGAGGCAGCAGUAGGGAAUUUUCCACAAUGGGCGAAAGCCUGAUGGAGCAACGCCGCGUGCAGGAUGAAGGCCCUCGGGUCGUAAACUGCUUUUAUGUGCGAAGAAUAUGACGGUAACACAUGAAUAAGGGUCGGCUAACUACGUG
RNAcentral lists this ribosomal RNA (465 nucleotides) under uncultured bacterium. RNAcentral's name for it is "bacterial SSU rRNA". It matches the Rfam family "Bacterial small subunit ribosomal RNA", at positions 10 to 507 of the family's 1533-position model. The record is from RNAcentral.